Small nuclear RNA from Suncus etruscus (white-toothed pygmy shrew), 106 nucleotides. The record is from RefSeq and is a predicted model, not a curated record. Lineage: Eukaryota; Metazoa; Chordata; Mammalia; Eulipotyphla; Soricidae.
GUGCUCGAUUCGGCAUCAUGUAUACUAAAAUUGGAAUGAUGCAGGGAAUAUUAGCAGGGCCCCUGUCAAGGAGGAUAUGCAAACUUGUGAAGCAUUUCAUAUUUUA